GAUGAACGCUAGCGGCAGGCUUAACACAUGCAAGUCGAGGGGCAGCGCGAUGUAGCAAUACAUUGGCGGCGACCGGCGCACGGGUGCGUAACACGUAUGGAACUUACCCUUUACUGGGAGAUAGCCCGGAGAAAUCCGGAUUAAUAUCCCAUAAUAAACGAAGUGGCAUCACUUUGUUUUGAAAGCUCCGGCGGUAAAGGAUGGCCAUGCGCACGAUUAGCUAGUAGGUGAGGUAACGGCUCACCUAGGCUACGAUCGUUAGGGGGCCUGGGAGGGUUAUCCCCCACACUGGUACUGAGACACGGACCAGACUCCUACGGGAGGCAGC
Molecule: ribosomal RNA, 328 nt
Filed under: uncultured bacterium
Lineage: Bacteria
Description: bacterial SSU rRNA
Rfam family: Bacterial small subunit ribosomal RNA
Source: RNAcentral